RNAcentral lists this ribosomal RNA (431 nucleotides) under uncultured bacterium. Its description in RNAcentral is "partial 16S ribosomal RNA". It matches the Rfam family "Bacterial small subunit ribosomal RNA", at positions 29 to 507 of the family's 1533-position model. The record is from RNAcentral.
AGCGAACGCUGGCGGCAGGCCUAACACAUGCAAGUCGAACGCCCCUUCGGGGGAGUGGCGGACGGGUGAGUACCGCGUGGGAAUGUGCCCUUUGGUACGGAACAACUGAGGGAAACUUCAGCUAAUACCGUAUGUGCCCUACGGGGGAAAGAUUUAUCGCCAUUGGAGCAGCCCGCGUUGGAUUAGGUAGUUGGUGGGGUAAUGGCCCACCAAGCCGACGAUCCAUAGCUGGUCUGAGAGGAUGAUCAGCCACACUGGGACUGAGACACGGCCCAGACUCCUACGGGAAGCAGCAGUGGGGAAUCUUGCGCAAUGGGCGAAAGCCUGACGCAGCCAUGCCGCGUGAAUGAUGAAGGUCUUAGGAUUGUAAAAUUCUUUCACCGGGGAAGAUAAUGACGGUACCCGGAGAAGAAGCCCCGGCUAACUUCGUG